This is a long non-coding RNA of Tachysurus vachellii, 214 nucleotides long. RefSeq lists it as uncharacterized. The transcript is spliced from 3 exons. NCBI's taxonomy places the organism in Eukaryota, Metazoa, Chordata, Actinopteri, Siluriformes, Bagridae. The record is from RefSeq and is a predicted model, not a curated record.
AAGAACGGGAGUGACAGAUGAGACGAGGCUGUGAUUUGAAGGGAUUUAUUGCCACAACUUCAGUUUAAGGGGGAAAAGAAAAAGUAAAUCAGUCAGAAUUCAUUAUUUCUACAACUGGAUUUGGAUCUGGAUCUGGAAGAGGAGAACUUUCUAGAGUUGUCCAAAAAUGUGUACGGAAGCCAGUGUUUACUGUACCAAUGUGUCUGCGUGUGAG